RNAcentral lists this ribosomal RNA (253 nucleotides) under uncultured bacterium. RNAcentral describes it as "partial 16S ribosomal RNA". It matches the Rfam family "Bacterial small subunit ribosomal RNA", at positions 524 to 776 of the family's 1533-position model. The record is from RNAcentral.
GACAGAGGGUGCAAACGUUGCUCGGAAUCACUGGGCGUAAAGGGCGUGUAGGCGGAUAGGCAAGUCAGACGUGAAAUCCCCAGGCUCAACCUGGGAACGCCAUUUGAAACUGCCUGUCUUGAGUGUCGGAGAGGAAAGCGGAAUUCCUGGUGUAGAGGUGAAAUUCGUAGAUAUCAGGAGGAACACCGGUGGCGAAGGCGGCUUUCUGGACGACAACUGACGCUGAGACGCGAAAGCGUGGGUAGCAAACAGG